Molecule: non-coding RNA, 499 nt
Organism: Myodes glareolus (Bank vole)
Lineage: Eukaryota; Metazoa; Chordata; Mammalia; Rodentia; Cricetidae
Source: RefSeq, a predicted model, not a curated record
GAGUUCAGGAAGCUCACUCACUCAAAGAAGGGGUUUGGGACCAUGUCUUAGGGUUUCUAUUGCUGUGAAGAGACACUAUGACCAAGGCAACUCUUAUAAAGGAAAAACAUUUAAUUGGGGUUGUUUACAGUUUCAGAGGUUUAGUUCAUUAUCAUCAUGGUGAGGCACGGUGGCUUGCAGGCAGACAUGGUGCUGGAGAAGGCGUUAAGAGUUGUACAUUUUGACUUACAGGCAACAGGAACUGGCCUGGGACACUGGGUGAUGUGUGGGAAAACAUAAGAAAGUCACCCCUGGACACCAGAAAGAAAGUUCUCUGGGAACCAAACUGCCAAGCUUUAUCUUGAACUUCCAGAACCAUGAGCGGUAACUGUCUAUGUUUGGCUACUCAACCUGUUGUAUUGUGUUGGGUUUUAGCCAGUUGGCUUAGGGAAUUUUGUUAUAGUAGCCUAAAGUAAGACUGUUUGAUGAGGUAAACAUAAAAGUCACAUUUGAAAAUGGG